Molecule: ribosomal RNA, 265 nt
Filed under: uncultured prokaryote
Description: partial 16S ribosomal RNA
Rfam family: Bacterial small subunit ribosomal RNA
Source: RNAcentral
UACGUAGGUGGCAAGCGUUAUCCGGAAUUACUGGGCGUAAAGAGCGCGCAGGUGGUUGAUUAAGUCUGAUGUGAAAGCCCACGGCUUAACCGUGGAGGGUCAUUGGAAACUGGUCGACUUGAGUGCAGAAGAGGGUAGUGGAAUUCCAUGUGUAGCGGUGAAAUGCGUAGAGAUAUGGAGGAACACCAGUGGCGAAGGCGGCUUCCUGGUCUGUAACUGACACUGAGGCGCGAAAGCGUGGGGAGCAAACAGGAUUAGAUACCCG